RNAcentral lists this ribosomal RNA (579 nucleotides) under Arthrobacter sp. CS19. RNAcentral describes it as "bacterial SSU rRNA". It matches the Rfam family "Bacterial small subunit ribosomal RNA", at positions 42 to 633 of the family's 1533-position model. The record is from RNAcentral. Lineage: Bacteria; Bacillati; Actinomycetota; Actinomycetes; Micrococcales; Micrococcaceae.
GCGUGCUUAACACAUGCAAGUCGAACGAUGAUCUCCAGCUUGCUGGGGGGAUUAGUGGCGAACGGGUGAGUAACACGUGAGUAACCUGCCCUUGACUCUGGGAUAAGCCUGGGAAACUGGGUCUAAUACCGGAUACGACCGCUCCACGCAUGUGGUGGUGGUGGAAAGCUUUUGCGGUUUUGGAUGGACUCGCGGCCUAUCAGCUUGUUGGUGGGGUAAUGGCCUACCAAGGCGACGACGGGUAGCCGGCCUGAGAGGGUGACCGGCCACACUGGGACUGAGACACGGCCCAGACUCCUACGGGAGGCAGCAGUGGGGAAUAUUGCACAAUGGGCGGAAGCCUGAUGCAGCGACGCCGCGUGAGGGAUGACGGCCUUCGGGUUGUAAACCUCUUUCAGUAGGGAAGAAGCGUAAGUGACGGUACCUGCAGAAGAAGCGCCGGCUAACUACGUGCCAGCAGCCGCGGUAAUACGUAGGGCGCAAGCGUUAUCCGGAAUUAUUGGGCGUAAAGAGCUCGUAGGCGGUUUGUCGCGUCUGCUGUGAAAGACCGGGGCUCAACUCCGGUUCUGCAGUGGGUAC